Molecule: ribosomal RNA, 990 nt
Filed under: Hypomyces sp.
Lineage: Eukaryota; Fungi; Ascomycota; Sordariomycetes; Hypocreales; Hypocreaceae
Description: partial 28S ribosomal RNA
Rfam family: Eukaryotic large subunit ribosomal RNA
Source: RNAcentral
AACGGAGUAGAACACAGGGAUGCCCCAGUAACGGCGAGUGAAGCGGCAACAGCUCAAAUUUGAAAUCUGGCCCCUUGGGGUCCGAGUUGUAAUUUGUAGAGGAUGCUUUUGAUGAGGCGCCGCCUGAGUUCCCUGGAACGGGACGCCAUAGAGGGUGAGAGCCCCGUCUGGCUGGCCGCCGAGUCUCUGUAAAGCUCCUUCGACGAGUCGAGUAGUUUGGGAAUGCUGCUCAAAAUGGGAGGUAUAUGUCUUCUAAAGCUAAAUACCGGCCAGAGACCGAUAGCGCACAAGUAGAGUGAUCGAAAGAUGAAAAGCACUUUGAAAAGAGGGUUAAAUAGUACGUGAAAUUGUUGAAAGGGAAGCACUUGUGACCAGACUUGGGCUUGGCGAAUCAUCCGGCGUUCUCGCCGGUGCACUUUGCCUCGUCCAGGCCAGCAUCAGUUCGUCGCGGGGGACAAAGGCUUCGGGAACGUGGCUCCUCCGGGAGUGUUAUAGCCCGCUGCGUAAUACCCUGCGGUGGACUGAGGUUCGCGCAUCUGCAAGGAUGCUGGCGUAAUGGUCAUCAGUGACCCGUCUUGAAACACGGACCAAGGAGUCGUCUUCGUAUGCGAGUGUUCGGGUGUCAAACCCCUACGCGUAAUGAAAGUGAACGCAGGUGAGAGCUUCGGCGCAUCAUCGACCGAUCCUGAUGUUCUCGGAUGGAUUUGAGUAAGAGCAUACGGGGCCGGACCCGAAAGAAGGUGAACUAUGCCUGUAUAGGGUGAAGCCAGAGGAAACUCUGGUGGAGGCUCGCAGCGGUUCUGACGUGCAAAUCGAUCGUCAAAUAUGGGCAUGGGGGCGAAAGACUAAUCGAACCUUCUAGUAGCUGGUUUCCGCCGAAGUUUCCCUCAGGAUAGCAGUGUUGAUCUCAGUUUUAUGAGGUAAAGCGAAUGAUUAGGGACCCGGGGGCGCUAUUUAGCCUUCAUCCAUUCUCAAACUUUAAAUAUGUAA